Nicotiana tabacum (common tobacco) is the source of this 1644-nucleotide long non-coding RNA. RefSeq lists it as uncharacterized. The record is from RefSeq and is a predicted model, not a curated record. NCBI's taxonomy places the organism in Eukaryota, Viridiplantae, Streptophyta, Magnoliopsida, Solanales, Solanaceae.
CCUUUUUUCCUUCCGGCCAAACCCUUUUCUAAAAACGCAUUGCUCGUCCAGAAGUUUCCUCUCCGUUUUCUCUCUAAAGGUGUGCGGUUUUUUUUUCAAGUCUGUGAUUUCUAAGAGAUAGGGUUCUUGGGAAGACAGCACAAAUCGGCGGAAGGGUCUAAUUAUGGAGAAAAUAACUGAAAAUAUCACCAGAAUGACCAUUCUUCAUCAUCUGCUUCCGAUUCUAGGGUUGAGAAGAAAACAAAUUCAUCGCAGCCGUCAUUCAAGUUUAGGAAUAGUUGGCUUUUCGAGAGCAGCUUGUUCAAAAGGUCUUCGGUGGCGGUAAAUGCACCAGCAAUAUCAACAAAGUUUGAUUUCAUAAGACAUAUUCUGAUCAAAAGGAUCCACAGAAAUGCAGUCAAUAUGUUCUUGAGAUAUAUAACAAUUUGCGGGUUGCAGAGGUCUGGUGAAUUGAUAUUCAUGUAUAUUUCCUUCAAACUUUCCUUUAAGAGUAUUGUACUCUUCUUAACUACUCUUCCCUAACAAUCUUUUGGAUUCAUGUGUCAGGAUCUUACAUAAUCUCCCUUUAGUUGUUCCAGCUGGGAGGAUAAACUAAGAAGCCCCUACUGCCUAUCAGCAUGGAGUUUAUAUUAGUGUAAAGGACAAUAUGCUGGUGUAAGGAAAUUUUUGUUCUUCCAAAACCCUAUGGAGAACUGAUUUUCUAUUUAGAAAUGCUCAAUAUUAUAAUCAUCUGGUCUUUCUUCUAUGAUUGUUGCAGAGAAAGGAUGAGAAGUAUUCAUGAUAAUCUGUCCUCACUUUCACCAUGUGCAUUCUCUCUAUAUUUGCAUUGUCACUUUAGGAGGAAGUGUAGAAUGCAUAAAAUAAGAAAAAACAAGACUCUUUAGGAUGAAGAGAGUGUCAGAAAAAAGUGAAUUUUAACAAUGUUAUUAUCUGGUUCUUGCUAUGAGUAUCUGUCUUGAUUAUCAUUAUCAAUAAGUUUGUAGUGAUUCGAAACACUAGAGUAAUGAUAUUAAUAAUAUUUUGCUUUCUUUUUUCGGAAAGUUUGCUCUUUUUAUAAUCCUACAGAGUUUAAUUUCUUAGAGCGACUUUUUUAUUGAAAUCUACGGUCAUCCUGCUUCUAAUUCUGUUUUUUAUGUCUCACUGUCUUGCUUUUUACUUGCAGUGACCCAUUAGUUGGUGCUACAAAUGGUUCUUUCAGAUUAUGUUCUUUACGAGACAAGUGCCGGGAAACACGUCCGUAGAGCUGUAUUUAUUAUCUGGAGCCUACCUUUGUGGAUGAAGUGAGGACUAGGGCUUACAAGCAACUCUGCCAUCCUAAACGAUAUAUUUCUCGCAAUGAGAUGCUGCUAACAAUAUAGCCAUGGGGCAUUAUAUAGCCAUGGUGAAUCUACUUGUGGACUAAGAGGAUCAUCUGGUGGCAGCAGUGUGAAUCACCAAGCAAAUAUAUAGUAUCUUUCUAUACUUAUAAAUUGUAGAACCACUUUAGAAAUUGGUAAUGUUUAAGUUACCACGCUGGUUAGUGAAAUUGAGUUACCAUUGCGUGAGUUAGUAUUAAAUUAGUUUGAUAAGAAUUUAAUUUCGGAUGCUUGUUACUAUGGCUAUUUGUAAUGAAAUUUGAUUUAUGUUAUAGGUUAUUCAAUAAAA